CAGCCUUCUCGGAUGUCUUUUUGAAUCAAUGUCUUCUGGCACUGUGUGGACUUGGCGAGACACCAACCUGAGCACAGUGAGACUCGGUAUCGCAGGCCGUCACAGACGUAGUCCCUGAAAACUGGGACAAACAGAAAACAAAGUAAGGAAAAAGCGAGCAUGCAGAACAGAGCAGCUUGCUGCUUGAAUUCAUCUGAGUGCAAACUCAGUGCCGCUGUAUCACUGCUUCGAUCAGAAGACAAAAGCAACCGCAGUUUCUAAUCCCCCACAGCUGCAACUGUUAACCGAGAUCAAAAUGAUGGAGACUGCCGUCUACUGGAUACUGAGUCAAUGAUGAAAGAUAGCAAAUUUGCCUACUCAGAGGGAAUCAUAGAAUGGCCUGGGUUGAGAAGGACCACAAUGAUCAUCGAGUUUCAACCCCCCUGCUAUGUGCAGGGUCGCCAACCACCAGACCAGGCUGCCCAGAGCCACAUCCAGCCUGGCCUUGAAUGCCUCCAGGGAUGGGGCAUCCACAGCCUCCUUGGGCAGCCUGUUCCAGUGUGUCACCACCCUCUGGGUGAGAUUGUCCCCUCCAGCCUGUAUGUCUUACCUAAUCUGUCAAAUCUCCUCGUGGAGAGUAGGACCUCUGUCACUGCAUUUCAGAACAAGGCACUCUAUAACUGGCAAAUACUGGUGCAAAAACGUGAAUCUUUUUUUACCUGUUGCAUCCACUUUAGCAAUCUCUACUGGCUUCAAAAUAUGCAUGUAAUCCUAUACUGAAUAAUCUCUUUUCAUAUAGCCUGUGCUAAUCUUAACACUAUGAUGUCAUCCAAAAUCCACAGUAUUGGUGAAACAUGUUUUAAUAUUCCAGCUCUUUUGAUCAUCCCUCGUAAAUCAAUCCCUCAAUCUCUUUAAUUAUUUUAAUUGCUCUUCUUUAAAUUCCCCUUGAGUGUAAUUUUCUAAUAGGAAGAUUUCCCAAAAUAUCCCAGGCAUGACUUAGUUAAGUAGUAGGCAAAGAGUAGUCAUGCCAAAGGAACGGAAGAGAAAAAUCUGUUAGUUUCUUCCUCAGUGAUUCACUUCACUUGGAGGGGCAUCUGUGGGCUUUCUGAUAUGUCUGCUCUGUAAGACCACAUAUAAUUUACUGUCUGCUUUCACUCCUACAGGUCAAUACUGCAGAUUUCUUCCUUUUGCUGAAUGUUUUCCUGUGGCUAUACCAAGAUUUCCAAGCCUUUCCAGCUCUUCAGAUGAAGUCCAGUGCUGAUCCAUAAAAUUCCCAACCACAUAAAAAAGAAUAGGGUAAGAUUAUUCUGUUUCUUUUUUCCUGUAGCAAGUUUAAUUAAAAAGACAAUGCUCCACCCACCUUCCAGUACUAGUCUAGAAUGGUAGGUCUUAAAUAGCAAAAUUAAUGCCAGCAAAAGAUCUGCUCUAUUUUUCCCCCUGUAAACCUGGUAAGUUGUUCAUGUGUAUAUCAGGGCAUAAUUGAGCUAGGCUCCUGGCACGUAUGAGCAAAUACUUGAAGGUAUACUUAGGUGACAACAUCACCAUUACUUUCUUCUGACUAUUCCACAAUGGAAAGAUAAUGUAAUUGCUUCAGCUAAACAAAGGGCAUUGGUUAUUUCCUUGUCGCACUGAAGUCUAAGACAGUGAGCUUCUGUAUAUAAUAAGUGAAACGACUGCUAUUGCUGAAAACAAAGGUGAAACAUCAGAGAUCAUAAAAUAUGGGAAUUUUCCUGGCUGUCCUGUGACAGCUUCAUGCCUGAAAAAAAUUAGUAGAGAGACCAGAAAAGGCAGCAAGG
This 1775-nucleotide long non-coding RNA is filed under the name Gallus gallus (chicken). RNAcentral describes it as "lncRNA (ENSGALG00010003642.1)". Lineage: Eukaryota; Metazoa; Chordata; Aves; Galliformes; Phasianidae. The record is from RNAcentral.